CACAGCUUCAAUCAUCUAACUAAUUACAGUAUAGUCCCUACUAAAGUUAUUAGAAAGUUGAGUCACUUAUUUUGAAAUGAAGGAAGUACAACCCAGUCACAUUACGAUGGCGUCCUUGGCCAGAGCUGGCCGUUUCAUGGUGCUCCUGCAGAUCGCGCUGUUCGUCGUGUCCGCGGUGAUCAUGAGCGGCUCCGUCUGCCACGAAGUCGGGAUCGGUCCCGAUGCUCUCGACCCUAGCCGCCGCCCUAUAUGCGGAGGCAGACCAUGCGGACAGCGUGGCCUACCGUACGGCGGCCGGCCCUGGAGCCCCUCCGCCGUACGAUGGAGGGAUUGGGCGACCAUGAUCAUAGCAGCACAAGUUGCUACAACAACCUUACUGAACCAGCCGGGAGUGUGAUAUCCGGUCGUAUGAAUAAACUCCCGUUUAUUACUGCAAAUAAAACUGCGAGUCUUGCCCCCAUAUACGAAUGGGUGUGUGAACGUGAAAGUUUGGUUCCGAAUUAUACUAC
Molecule: ribosomal RNA, 509 nt
Filed under: Triticum aestivum (bread wheat)
Lineage: Eukaryota; Viridiplantae; Streptophyta; Magnoliopsida; Poales; Poaceae
Description: partial small subunit ribosomal RNA
Source: RNAcentral